Molecule: transfer RNA, 73 nt
Filed under: Candidatus Gottesmanbacteria bacterium
Lineage: Bacteria; Candidatus Gottesmaniibacteriota
Description: tRNA-Arg
Rfam family: tRNA
About the family: Transfer RNA (tRNA) molecules are approximately 80 nucleotides in length. Their secondary structure includes four short double-helical elements and three loops (D, anti-codon, and T loops). Further hydrogen bonds mediate the characteristic L-shaped molecular structure. tRNAs have two regions of fundamental functional importance: the anti-codon, which is responsible for specific mRNA codon recognition, and the 3' end, to which the tRNAs corresponding amino acid is attached (by aminoacyl-tRNA synthetases). tRNAs cope with the degeneracy of the genetic code in two manners: having more than one tRNA (with a specific anti-codon) for a particular amino acid; and 'wobble' base-pairing, i.e. permitting non-standard base-pairing at the 3rd anti-codon position.
Source: RNAcentral
GCGCCUGUAGCUCAACGGACAGAGCACAAGAUUCCGGAUCUUGGGGUUGGAGGUUCAAUUCCUCUCAGGCGCG